CAAUAUUUAAAAACCGCAACUCGGGUUUUUUUUAAAGUCUUGAAAAUUUUUAUAAGUGCACUUCUUUUCGGGCUAGUGUUAAUAUAGUUAUAGACAUCUCUGAUUAAAUCUGGAGGAGGCACAUAAAUGAAAUGAGUAACAGAUGCAUUUGACUAAAUAUAAAUACGGAAUAUCUCUUUGAAACCGUGUUGAUAAAGAGUUGAAAUGACCCAUCAUGAUGUUUGCACUAUCCUGCAAACCCAAUCAUGUUUUAUUUGUAAGAAAUGUCAUUCUCGUUAAAGAACAAUAUUAUGUGUUCAUAGAGUGAGCUGUAGCAUCUUCAAGAAGUAUGAGACCCAAAAAUGAGUCAACUACAUUGUGGUCUUUAUACACUCGUGUGCAACUGAAUCGAUUCAAGCCGUAUAUUGGUAUAAAAGUUAGAUUUUUAGGAAAAUGGCUUAGCCGAUUUUCUUGUUUUUUUUUUGUUUGUUUGAAAGCCUAAUCUUUUCUCUUAAAAAUGCUAUCCUUAUUGAGAAAAAUCGGUUGAGUAUUUAUUGAUAAAACUUAAUUUGACAGAAAUACAUAAAAACUGAAGAAAAAUGAAAACAACAACAUAAUGAAUAGAAAAAUUAUUUUUGAUAAACUAAAGAAAAUUUAAAUUUUCAAUACUUUGUAUAGCUUUUAUAACAAUUCGCAUGCGAUUUUUCAUUGAUUUUAUCAAUUUUUUGAUAAAAUCUUGAGCUAUCGUAUUCCUAUCUUCCACUAGCGCAGUUUUGAGCUCGACGAUUCUAGAUGGAGCCUUAUCUCUAACUUGCACCCUCCGUUUGAGCACGUCCCAUAAAUGCUCAAUGCAAUUCAGAUCAGGACUGAGGACUGGCCACAUAAUCGUCUCAAUUUGCAUCUCUUGAACUCCCUUUUUUUUGUUUCAAAAUCGUCUGUAUUUUCUCAUUCCAUCACCAUGUAUCCUUGUUUAUCUUCCUUUUUCCUUUCGUUUCCCCAAAGACAUCCCUUGCUUACACUUCCUACCCACGUUGCCAUCUCACUCCAGCACUCGUUUACUCCUAUCUCCGUCAUAUCUCCCAUCUCUAUCAUUUUACCAACAACUCUUACCCUGAAUUCUGCAGCCAUCUCCCUAUCAUCCACUUUGUAUCAUUUCUUUCUAACUGGGGGCUUCGGGCUCUUAUUUAAACGCUGAACUUCCAGGGUUAAAUCCAGGAGCAGUAGCCUAUGCUGGGAAACAAGGCUCUCACUCGGUAUUACCUUGCAGUCUUUGGCCGAUUUUAGCCUGUUUCUUCUUAAAAUAAUAUAGUCAAUAUGGGUAGAGUGUAGACCAGUACGGUAUGUUAUAAGAUGUUGUUCCCGUUUUUGAUAGAACGUCUUGGCUUUUGCUAAGUCAAAGGCCAAGGCUGCUUCCAGUAGAGCUUCGCCGUCUCGGUCCGUGACCUCGGCCCCCAUGCACUCUCUCAUA
RNAcentral lists this unclassified non-coding RNA (1447 nucleotides) under Melitaea cinxia (Glanville fritillary). RNAcentral describes it as "misc RNA ENSMCXG00005013187.1". Lineage: Eukaryota; Metazoa; Arthropoda; Insecta; Lepidoptera; Nymphalidae. The record is from RNAcentral.